RNAcentral lists this ribosomal RNA (218 nucleotides) under uncultured bacterium. RNAcentral describes it as "partial 16S ribosomal RNA". It matches the Rfam family "Bacterial small subunit ribosomal RNA", at positions 116 to 334 of the family's 1533-position model. The record is from RNAcentral.
CGUGAGGAACCUGCCUUUCAGAGGGGGACAACAGCUGGAAACGGCUGCUAAUACCGCAUGACGCAUUCGGAUGGCAUCAUCUGAAUGCCAAAGAUUUAUCGCUGGAAGAUGGCCUCGCGUCUGAUUAGAUAGUUGGCGGGGUAACGGCCCACCAAGUCGACGAUCAGUAGCCGGACUGAGAGGUUGACCGGCCACAUUGGGACUGAGAUACGGCCCAG